AGAGGUGCUUGCACCUCUUGMGAGCGGCGGACGGGUGAGUAAUGCCUAGGAAUCUGCCUGGUAGUGGGGGAUAACGUCCGGAAACGGACGCUAAUACCGCAUACGUCCUACGGGAGAAAGCAGGGGACCUUCGGGCCUUGCGCUAUCAGAUGAGCCUAGGUCGGAUACUAGUUGGUGGGGUAAAGGCUCACCAAGGCGACRAUCCGUAACUGGUCUGAGAGGAGAUCAUCCACUGGAACUGAGACACGGUCCASACUCCUACGGGAGGCAGCAUGGGGAUAUUGGAMAUGGGGAARCCUGAUCCGCCUGCCGCGUGUGUGARAAGUCUC
This 329-nucleotide ribosomal RNA is filed under the name Pseudomonas sp. Its description in RNAcentral is "bacterial SSU rRNA". Lineage: Bacteria; Pseudomonadati; Pseudomonadota; Gammaproteobacteria; Pseudomonadales; Pseudomonadaceae. The record is from RNAcentral.